GGGGAUUUGGCUCAGUGGUUAGAGCGCUUGCCUAGGAAGCGCAAGGCCCUGGGUUCGGUCCCCAGCUCCG
RNAcentral lists this transfer RNA (70 nucleotides) under Rattus norvegicus (Norway rat). It matches the Rfam family "tRNA". From Rfam's summary of the family: Transfer RNA (tRNA) molecules are approximately 80 nucleotides in length. Their secondary structure includes four short double-helical elements and three loops (D, anti-codon, and T loops). The record is from Rfam by way of RNAcentral. Lineage: Eukaryota; Metazoa; Chordata; Mammalia; Rodentia; Muridae.